Molecule: unclassified non-coding RNA, 276 nt
Filed under: uncultured fungus
Lineage: Eukaryota; Fungi
Description: partial contains small subunit ribosomal RNA, internal transcribed spacer 1, and 5.8S ribosomal RNA
Rfam family: Eukaryotic small subunit ribosomal RNA (bases 1-73)
Source: RNAcentral
GCAAACUUGGUCAUUUAGAGGAAGUAAAAGUCGUAACAAGGUCUCCGUAGGUGAACCUGCGGAGGGAUCAUUACCGAGUGAGGGCCUCCGGCCCGACCUCCAACCCUUUGUUGACCAACACCUGUUGCCUCGGGGGCGACCCGGACGCCGACGCCUCGGCCGACGGGCCCCCGGUGGACCAUUCCAACUCUGUGUCCGUACGUCGGAGUACUUAGCGAAUCAAUCAAAACUUUCAACAACGGAUCUCUUGGUUCUGGCAUCGAUGAAGAACGCAGC